AGCUUUCUGAAUUCGUACAAAGAUUUUGUUAGACACUAACCCAUUAGGGCUGAUCAAACUUCUAAGAUAAGUGAAGUU
Molecule: microRNA precursor, 78 nt
Filed under: Schistosoma curassoni
Lineage: Eukaryota; Metazoa; Platyhelminthes; Trematoda; Strigeidida; Schistosomatidae
Description: mir-3492 microRNA precursor family
Rfam family: mir-3492 microRNA precursor family
Source: Rfam by way of RNAcentral